UACGUAGGGUGCAAGCGUUGUCCGGAAUUAUUGGGCGUAAAGAGCUCGUAGGCGGUUCGUCGCGUCGGCUGUGAAAACCUGAGGCUCAACCUCAGGCCUGCAGUCGAUACGGGCGGACUUGAGUACUGCAGGGGAGACUGGAAUUCCUGGUGUAGCGGUGAAAUGCGCAGAUAUCAGGAGGAACACCGGUGGCGAAGGCGGGUCUCUGGGCAGUAAACUGACGCUGGAGGGAAG
This 234-nucleotide ribosomal RNA is filed under the name uncultured bacterium. RNAcentral's name for it is "partial 16S ribosomal RNA". It matches the Rfam family "Bacterial small subunit ribosomal RNA", at positions 524 to 758 of the family's 1533-position model. The record is from RNAcentral.